CGAUGUGAGGGUGAUCUGGCUAAGACAUUUGUCAUCCCAUUGAUCACCAUGGUUGAUUUGGCUGAUCUGGCUGCCUAGUCCAGUGUCCCGUUCCUCCCUCACCGCUCCAUGUGUGUCCCUCCGAAAUUGCAUGCUCAGUCAAAAAGGAUGACCAUACAUGUAACUGUAACCCCUCUAUACAUCAUCUUCACAAUAUUUUUUUAAAAGGAUGAUUAUGCUGGUCUUCAGUCAAGAGUAUACAAAUGUGCUGAGCUCCCCUACCAGAACCUCUAGUCAUUAUAUUUGUCACAAAGGUGUAACUUGAAUACAAAUAAUUACAGCAGAGGUCAAAAACUAUGUACAUAUGACCAUAU
RNAcentral lists this small nuclear RNA (353 nucleotides) under Dipodomys ordii (Ord's kangaroo rat). Its description in RNAcentral is "7SK RNA". It matches the Rfam family "7SK RNA". From Rfam's summary of the family: 7SK was discovered as an abundant small nuclear RNA in the mid-70s but a possible function has only recently been suggested. Two independent studies have found that 7SK RNA binds the CDK9/cyclin T complex (known as elongation factor P-TEFb). P-TEFb activates transcription by phosphorylating the C-terminal domain of RNA polymerase II. The record is from Rfam by way of RNAcentral. Lineage: Eukaryota; Metazoa; Chordata; Mammalia; Rodentia; Heteromyidae.